RNAcentral lists this transfer RNA (74 nucleotides) under Bos taurus (domestic cattle). It matches the Rfam family "tRNA". From Rfam's summary of the family: Transfer RNA (tRNA) molecules are approximately 80 nucleotides in length. Their secondary structure includes four short double-helical elements and three loops (D, anti-codon, and T loops). Further hydrogen bonds mediate the characteristic L-shaped molecular structure. tRNAs have two regions of fundamental functional importance: the anti-codon, which is responsible for specific mRNA codon recognition, and the 3' end, to which the tRNAs corresponding amino acid is attached (by aminoacyl-tRNA synthetases). tRNAs cope with the degeneracy of the genetic code in two manners: having more than one tRNA (with a specific anti-codon) for a particular amino acid; and 'wobble' base-pairing, i.e. permitting non-standard base-pairing at the 3rd anti-codon position. The record is from Rfam by way of RNAcentral. RNAcentral also lists the same sequence under 4 other names. Lineage: Eukaryota; Metazoa; Chordata; Mammalia; Artiodactyla; Bovidae.
UCCCUGGUGGCUCAGACGGUAUAAAGCGUCUGUCUACAAUGCAGGAGACCCGAGUUCGAGCCCUGGAUUGGGAA